CGUCUCAAAAUAUGCAUUACACAUCUAAUUUGUCGCUCAUAUUAUGAUGCGUAAACUAAUUACACGUAAAUAUCAACGAACUACCAAGGUUACAAAUAUUUGAUAUGGAAGUAGAUGCAACUCUCCUACAUCUGAAAUAGUUAUAUACUGCGUUCGUAUUUCAGUACACCACAAUACCAUACCAAAUAUACGGUUACUUUCUUUAUGAUUAAUAAAAUUUAUGAGGGGAUAAAAUAGCUGGUUAUCGUACAUUAAUUUCAUGUCACGAUCCGAACCUAUUACCUAAAAAACCCGAGUCCGACCCUACUGUUUUAAACUUUUCUCAACACUUAUUUGGCGAGAAUCCCACGCGCUUGUUAGCAAAAUCGUAGCUGACGCGUGUCCCCUGCUGCUGCACGUUCCCGAUGAUAGACAGCGGCGACGACGUCGGCGCGAAGGCGAAGCAAAACGUCCCCGCCGAGUCCACUGGAAUCAAGUAGUUCUUCGCGGGAAGGCUCAACGACUUCCCGCCGGAAAACUGAAACGACACCGUUGGGACCUGCACCUUGGUCCGCGACGACAGGUUGUAACACGUGUCGAACAGCGCGAAGCUGCUCGCAGUCGGCAGGUCCCGAGUAAGCCUCUUGAAUGCGUCGCGGAGGGCGUUGUACGCCUGAGUCUGCAGCCGAGUUAUGGCUGUACCCGAGUCGACGAUGAUCCCUCCGUUUCCGGAAUUGUCCACCGCGAAGAGCGACGGCGGGACUGAGACCGGUUGGCCGCCGACGCUGAAUCCGGUGAGCCCCACGUAGAAAAUGUGCCGACUUUUUCGCUCUUGACUAGCGGCGCCGUGACG
RNAcentral lists this small RNA (832 nucleotides) under Malus domestica (apple). Its description in RNAcentral is "sRNA MD14G0194300". The record is from RNAcentral. Lineage: Eukaryota; Viridiplantae; Streptophyta; Magnoliopsida; Rosales; Rosaceae.